This 253-nucleotide ribosomal RNA is filed under the name uncultured bacterium. RNAcentral's name for it is "partial 16S ribosomal RNA". It matches the Rfam family "Bacterial small subunit ribosomal RNA", at positions 524 to 776 of the family's 1533-position model. The record is from RNAcentral.
UACGUAGGGUGCAGGCGUUAAUCGGAAUUACUGGGCGUAAAGCGUGCGCAGGCGGUUUGCUAAGACAGGUGUGAAAUCCCCGGGCUUAACCUGGGAACUGCGCUUGUUACUGGCAAGCUAGAGUGUGGCAGAGGGGGGUGGAAUUCCAGGUGUAGCAGUGAAAUGCGUAGAGGUCUGGAGGAACACCGAUGGCGAAGGCAGCCCCCUGGGCUAACACUGACGCUCAUGCACGAAAGCGUGGGGAGCGAACAGG